RNAcentral lists this ribosomal RNA (253 nucleotides) under uncultured bacterium. Its description in RNAcentral is "partial 16S ribosomal RNA". It matches the Rfam family "Bacterial small subunit ribosomal RNA", at positions 524 to 776 of the family's 1533-position model. The record is from RNAcentral.
GACGUAGGGCGCGAGCGUUGUCCGGAUUUAUUGGGCGUAAAGAGCUCGUAGGCGGUCUGUCGCGUCGAAUGUGAAAACCCGGGGCUCAACCCCGGGCCUGCAUUCGAUACGGGCAGACUAGAGUUCGGUAGGGGAGUCUGGAAUUCCUGGUGUAGCGGUGAAAUGCGUAGAUAUCUGGAGGAACACCGGUGGCGAAGGCGGCGUCCUGGACCAACACUGACACUGAGGAGCGAAAGCCAGGGGAGCAAACGGG